This 2927-nucleotide ribosomal RNA is filed under the name Bacillus velezensis. Its description in RNAcentral is "23S ribosomal RNA". It matches the Rfam family "Bacterial large subunit ribosomal RNA". The record is from RNAcentral. Lineage: Bacteria; Bacillati; Bacillota; Bacilli; Caryophanales; Bacillaceae.
CGGUUAAGUUAGAAAGGGCGCACGGUGGAUGCCUUGGCACUAGGAGCCGAUGAAGGACGGGACGAACACCGAUAUGCUUCGGGGAGCUGUAAGCAAGCUUUGAUCCGGAGAUUUCCGAAUGGGGAAACCCACCACUCGUAAUGGAGUGGUAUCCAUAUCUGAAUACAUAGGGUAUGAGAAGGCAGACCCGGGGAACUGAAACAUCUAAGUACCCGGAGGAAGAGAAAGCAAAUGCGAUUCCCUGAGUAGCGGCGAGCGAAACGGGACCAGCCCAAACCAAGAGGCUUGCCUCUUGGGGUUGUAGGACACUCUGUACGGAGUUACAAAGGAACGAGGUAGAUGAAGAGGUCUGGAAAGGCCCGCCAUAGGAGGUAACAGCCCUGUAGUCAAAACUUCGUUCUCUCCUGAGUGGAUCCUGAGUACGGCGGAACACGUGAAAUUCCGUCGGAAUCCGGGAGGACCAUCUCCCAAGGCUAAAUACUCCCUAGUGACCGAUAGUGAACCAGUACCGUGAGGGAAAGGUGAAAAGCACCCCGGAAGGGGAGUGAAAGAGAUCCUGAAACCGUGUGCCUACAAGUAGUCAGAGCCGGGUGAUGGCGUGCCUUUUGUAGAAUGAACCGGCGAGUUACGAUCCCGUGCAAGGUUAAGCAGAAGAUGCGGAGCCGCAGCGAAAGCGAGUCUGAAUAGGGCGAAUUGAGUACGUGGUCGUAGACCCGAAACCAGGUGAUCUACCCAUGUCCAGGGUGAAGUUCAGGUAACACUGAAUGGAGGCCCGAACCCACGCACGUUGAAAAGUGCGGGGAUGAGGUGUGGGUAGGGGUGAAAUGCCAAUCGAACCUGGAGAUAGCUGGUUCUCUCCGAAAUAGCUUUAGGGCUAGCCUCAAGGUAAGAGUCUCGGAGGUAGAGCACUGAUUGGACUAGGGGCCCCUACCGGGUUACCGAAUUCAGUCAAACUCCGAAUGCCGAUGACUUAUCCUUGGGAGUCAGACUGCGAGUGAUAAGAUCCGUAGUCGAAAGGGAAACAGCCCAGACCGCCAGCUAAGGUCCCAAAGUAUACGUUAAGUGGAAAAGGAUGUGGAGUUGCUUAGACAACCAGGAUGUUGGCUUAGAAGCAGCCACCAUUUAAAGAGUGCGUAAUAGCUCACUGGUCGAGUGACUCUGCGCCGAAAAUGUACCGGGGCUAAACGUAUCACCGAAGCUGCGGACUGUUCUUCGAACAGUGGUAGGAGAGCGUUCUAAGGGCUGUGAAGCAAGACCGGAAGGACUUGUGGAGCGCUUAGAAGUGAGAAUGCCGGUAUGAGUAGCGAAAGAGGGGUGAGAAUCCCCUCCACCGAAUGCCUAAGGUUUCCUGAGGAAGGCUCGUCCGCUCAGGGUUAGUCGGGACCUAAGCCGAGGCCGAAAGGCGUAGGCGAUGGACAACAGGUUGAUAUUCCUGUACCACCUCCUCACCAUUUGAGCAAUGGGGGGACGCAGGAGGAUAGGGUAAGCGCGGUAUUGGAUAUCCGCGUCCAAGCAGUUAGGCUGGGAAAUAGGCAAAUCCGUUUCCCGUGAAGGCUGAGCUGUGAUGGCGAGCGAAUUAUAGUAGCGAAGUUCCUGAUUCCACACUGCCAAGAAAAGCCUCUAGCGAGGUGAGAGGUGCCCGUACCGCAAACCGACACAGGUAGGCGAGGAGAGAAUCCUAAGGUGAUCGAGAGAACUCUCGUUAAGGAACUCGGCAAAAUGACCCCGUAACUUCGGGAGAAGGGGUGCUCUGUUAGGGUGCAAGCCCGAGAGAGCCGCAGUGAAUAGGCCCAGGCGACUGUUUAGCAAAAACACAGGUCUCUGCGAAGCCGUAAGGCGAAGUAUAGGGGCUGACGCCUGCCCGGUGCUGGAAGGUUAAGAGGAGCGCUUAGCGUAAGCGAAGGUGCGAAUUGAAGCCCCAGUAAACGGCGGCCGUAACUAUAACGGUCCUAAGGUAGCGAAAUUCCUUGUCGGGUAAGUUCCGACCCGCACGAAAGGCGCAACGAUCUGGGCACUGUCUCAACGAGAGACUCGGUGAAAUUAUAGUACCUGUGAAGAUGCAGGUUACCCGCGACAGGACGGAAAGACCCCGUGGAGCUUUACUGCAGCCUGAUAUUGAAUGUUGGUACAGCUUGUACAGGAUAGGUAGGAGCCUUGGAAACCGGAGCGCCAGCUUCGGUGGAGGCAUCGGUGGGAUACUACCCUGGCUGUAUUGACCUUCUAACCCGCCGCCCUUAUCGGGCGGGGAGACAGUGUCAGGUGGGCAGUUUGACUGGGGCGGUCGCCUCCUAAAAGGUAACGGAGGCGCCCAAAGGUUCCCUCAGAAUGGUUGGAAAUCAUUCGCAGAGUGUAAAGGCACAAGGGAGCUUGACUGCGAGACCUACAAGUCGAGCAGGGACGAAAGUCGGGCUUAGUGAUCCGGUGGUUCCGCAUGGAAGGGCCAUCGCUCAACGGAUAAAAGCUACCCCGGGGAUAACAGGCUUAUCUCCCCCAAGAGUCCACAUCGACGGGGAGGUUUGGCACCUCGAUGUCGGCUCAUCGCAUCCUGGGGCUGUAGUCGGUCCCAAGGGUUGGGCUGUUCGCCCAUUAAAGCGGUACGCGAGCUGGGUUCAGAACGUCGUGAGACAGUUCGGUCCCUAUCCGUCGCGGGCGCAGGAAAUUUGAGAGGAGCUGUCCUUAGUACGAGAGGACCGGGAUGGACGCACCGCUGGUGUACCAGUUGUUCUGCCAAGGGCAUCGCUGGGUAGCUAUGUGCGGACGGGAUAAGUGCUGAAAGCAUCUAAGCAUGAAGCCCCCCUCAAGAUGAGAUUUCCCAUUCCGCAAGGAAGUAAGAUCCCUGAAAGAUGAUCAGGUUGAUAGGUCUGAGGUGGAAGUGUGGCGACACAUGGAGCUGACAGAUACUAAUCGAUCGAGGACUUAACCAAUUU